ACAAAAGCAGAUAGAGGAAUAGUAAGUUUCUUUGAAAGUUGUAGAGAGUGCAUGGUUGGUGAAAAUGCAUCAAUUCGAUAAACUGAACUCGCCUUUUUAGCCGAACUCUGAAGGAUUAGUAAGAGUUUCCGCUUCGCCAGCGUUACAGGUAAGAAGAGUAAAAUGUUUAGGUGGUAACACGUAUUGCGUCCUAUCU
RNAcentral lists this non-coding RNA (196 nucleotides) under Granulicatella adiacens. Its description in RNAcentral is "T-box sequence". It matches the Rfam family "T-box leader". Rfam says of the family: Uncharged tRNA acts as the effector for transcription antitermination of genes in the T-box leader family. The record is from RNAcentral. Lineage: Bacteria; Bacillati; Bacillota; Bacilli; Lactobacillales; Carnobacteriaceae.